CUGACUGUGGCGCAGUUUGGUAGCGCGCUGCCUUCGGGAGGCAGAGGUCCUGGGUUCAAAUCCCAGCAGCCAGA
Molecule: transfer RNA, 74 nt
Filed under: Halothermothrix orenii H 168
Lineage: Bacteria; Bacillati; Bacillota; Clostridia; Halanaerobiales; Halothermotrichaceae
Rfam family: tRNA
About the family: Transfer RNA (tRNA) molecules are approximately 80 nucleotides in length. Their secondary structure includes four short double-helical elements and three loops (D, anti-codon, and T loops). Further hydrogen bonds mediate the characteristic L-shaped molecular structure. tRNAs have two regions of fundamental functional importance: the anti-codon, which is responsible for specific mRNA codon recognition, and the 3' end, to which the tRNAs corresponding amino acid is attached (by aminoacyl-tRNA synthetases). tRNAs cope with the degeneracy of the genetic code in two manners: having more than one tRNA (with a specific anti-codon) for a particular amino acid; and 'wobble' base-pairing, i.e. permitting non-standard base-pairing at the 3rd anti-codon position.
Source: Rfam by way of RNAcentral